GAAAUGCGAUAAGUAGUGUGAAUUGCAGAAUUCAGUGAAUCAUCGAAUCUUUGAACGCACAUUGCGCCCCUCGGUAUUCCGUGGGGCAUGCCUGUUCGAGCGUCAUCUACACCCUCAAGCUCUGCUUGGUGUUGGGCGUCUGUCCCGCCUCCUUCGCGCGCGGACUCGCCCCAAAUCCAUUGGCGGCGGCCCUUGCCUCCCUCUCGCGCAGCACAUUGCGCUUCUCGAGGCGCGGCGGACCGCGUCCAGCAAGCAACCGUCACACCGUCUUUGACCUCGGAUCAGGUAGGGAUACCCGCUUAACUUAAGC
This 310-nucleotide unclassified non-coding RNA is filed under the name plant metagenome. RNAcentral describes it as "partial contains 5.8S ribosomal RNA, internal transcribed spacer 2, and large subunit ribosomal RNA". The stretch from base 1 to 105 matches the Rfam family "5.8S ribosomal RNA", at positions 50 to 154 of the family's 154-position model. The record is from RNAcentral.